This 468-nucleotide ribosomal RNA is filed under the name uncultured bacterium. RNAcentral describes it as "partial 16S ribosomal RNA". It matches the Rfam family "Bacterial small subunit ribosomal RNA", at positions 28 to 507 of the family's 1533-position model. The record is from RNAcentral.
GACGAACGCUGGCGGCGUGCUUAACACAUGCAAGUCGAACGGAAAGGCCCUGCUUUUGUGGGGUGCUCGAGUGGCGAACGGGUGAGUAACACGUGAGUAACCUGCCCUUGACUUUGGGAUAACUUCAGGAAACUGGGGCUAAUACCGGAUAGGAGCUCCUGCUGCAUGGUGGUGGUUGGAAAGUUUCGGCGGUUGGGGAUGUACUCGCUGCUUAUCAGCUUGUUGGUGGGGUAGUUGCUUACCAAGGCUUUGACGGGUAGCCGGCAUGAGAGGGUGACCGGCGAAAAUGGGACUGAGAUACGGAGCAGACGGCAACGGGAGGCAGGAGUGGGGAAUAUUGCACAAUGGGAGGAAGCGUGAUGAAGAAAAGCGGGGAGCGGGAUGACGGCCUUCGGGUUGUAAAAAGAAUUAGACUGUGAAGAAGAGUGAGUGACGGUAAUGGGUAAAGAAGCACCGGCUAACUACGUG